GCGGAUAGCUCAGUUGGUUAGAGCUUGGUGUUGAUAACACCAAGGAUGCAGGUUUGAUCCCCAUAUGGGACAGAUGCA
This 78-nucleotide transfer RNA is filed under the name Podarcis lilfordi (Lilford's wall lizard). RNAcentral describes it as "tRNA.Ile". Lineage: Eukaryota; Metazoa; Chordata; Lepidosauria; Squamata; Lacertidae. The record is from RNAcentral.